AAGUCAUGUUGAGGACAAUUCCUUAGAAGGCCAAUGUAUCUUUCCCAUGCUUCGUAUAAGGAUUCACCAAAUUCUUAUUGGAAGUUGGCUAUCUACUUUUUUUAGUU
Molecule: small nucleolar RNA, 107 nt
Organism: Lactuca sativa (garden lettuce)
Lineage: Eukaryota; Viridiplantae; Streptophyta; Magnoliopsida; Asterales; Asteraceae
Source: RefSeq, a predicted model, not a curated record